Molecule: transfer RNA, 87 nt
Filed under: Pseudoalteromonas translucida TAC125
Lineage: Bacteria; Pseudomonadati; Pseudomonadota; Gammaproteobacteria; Alteromonadales; Pseudoalteromonadaceae
Also listed under: 1 other name
Description: Pseudoalteromonas haloplanktis TAC125 tRNA
Rfam family: tRNA
About the family: Transfer RNA (tRNA) molecules are approximately 80 nucleotides in length. Their secondary structure includes four short double-helical elements and three loops (D, anti-codon, and T loops).
Source: Rfam by way of RNAcentral
GGAGGGAUGGCUGAGUGGCUGAAGGCGCACGCCUGGAAAGUGUGUUUAGGUUAAUCCCUAACGAGGGUUCGAAUCCCUCUCCCUCCA